UUAAGCGACUAAGCGUACACGGUGGAUGCCCUGGCAGUCAGAGGCGAUGAAGGACGUGCUAAUCUGCGAUAAGCGUCGGUGAGGUGAUAUGAACCGUUAUAACCGGCGAUUUCCGAAUGGGGAAACCCAGUGUGUUUCGACACACUAUCAUUAACUGAAUCCAUAGGUUAAUGAGGCGAACCGGGGGAACUGAAACAUCUAAGUACCCCGAGGAAAAGAAAUCAACCGAGAUUCCCCCAGUAGCGGCGAGCGAACGGGGAGGAGCCCAGAGCCUGAAUCAGUGUGUGUGUUAGUGGAAGCGUCUGGAAAGGCGUGCGAUACAGGGUGACAGCCCCGUACACAAAAAUGCACAUAUUGUGAGCUCGAUGAGUAGGGCGGGACACGUGGUAUCCUGUCUGAAUAUGGGGGACCAUCCUCCAAGGCUAAAUACUCCUGACUGACCGAUAGUGAACCAGUACCGUGAGGGAAAGGCGAAAAGAACCCCGGCGAGGGGAGUGAAAAAGAACCUGAAACCGUGUACGUACAAGCAGUGGGAGCCUCUUAAUGGGGUGACUGCGUACCUUUUGUAUAAUGGGUCAGCGACUUAUAUUCUGUAGCAAGGUUAACCGAAUAGGGGAGCCGAAGGGAAACCGAGUCUUAACUGGGCGUUAAGUUGCAGGGUAUAGACCCGAAACCCGGUGAUCUAGCCAUGGGCAGGUUGAAGGUUGGGUAACACUAACUGGAGGACCGAACCGACUAAUGUUGAAAAAUUAGCGGAUGACUUGUGGCUGGGGGUGAAAGGCCAAUCAAACCGGGAGAUAGCUGGUUCUCCCCGAAAGCUAUUUAGGUAGCGCCUCGUGAAUUCAUCUCCGGGGGUAGAGCACUGUUUCGGCAAGGGGGUCAUCCCGACUUACCAACCCGAUGCAAACUGCGAAUACCGGAGAAUGUUAUCACGGGAGACACACGGCGGGUGCUAACGUCCGUCGUGAAGAGGGAAACAACCCAGACCGCCAGCUAAGGUCCCAAAGUCAUGGUUAAGUGGGAAACGAUGUGGGAAGGCCCAGACAGCCAGGAUGUUGGCUUAGAAGCAGCCAUCAUUUAAAGAAAGCGUAAUAGCUCACUGGUCGAGUCGGCCUGCGCGGAAGAUGUAACGGGGCUAAACCAUGCACCGAAGCUGCGGCAGCGACACUAUGUGUUGUUGGGUAGGGGAGCGUUCUGUAAGCCUGUGAAGGUGGCCUGUGAGGGUUGCUGGAGGUAUCAGAAGUGCGAAUGCUGACAUAAGUAACGAUAAAGCGGGUGAAAAGCCCGCUCGCCGGAAGACCAAGGGUUCCUGUCCAACGUUAAUCGGGGCAGGGUGAGUCGACCCCUAAGGCGAGGCCGAAAGGCGUAGUCGAUGGGAAACAGGUUAAUAUUCCUGUACUUGGUGUUACUGCGAAGGGGGGACGGAGAAGGCUAUGUUGGCCGGGCGACGGUUGUCCCGGUUUAAGCGUGUAGGCUGGUUUUCCAGGCAAAUCCGGAAAACCAAGGCUGAGGCGUGAUGACGAGGCACUACGGUGCUGAAGCGACAAAUGCCCUGCUUCCAGGAAAAGCCUCUAAGCAUCAGGUAACAUCAAAUCGUACCCCAAACCGACACAGGUGGUCAGGUAGAGAAUACCAAGGCGCUUGAGAGAACUCGGGUGAAGGAACUAGGCAAAAUGGUGCCGUAACUUCGGGAGAAGGCACGCUGAUAUGUAGGUGAAGCGACUUGCUCGUGGAGCUGAAAUCAGUCGAAGAUACCAGCUGGCUGCAACUGUUUAUUAAAAACACAGCACUGUGCAAACACGAAAGUGGACGUAUACGGUGUGACGCCUGCCCGGUGCCGGAAGGUUAAUUGAUGGGGUUAGCGGCAACGCGAAGCUCUUGAUCGAAGCCCCGGUAAACGGCGGCCGUAACUAUAACGGUCCUAAGGUAGCGAAAUUCCUUGUCGGGUAAGUUCCGACCUGCACGAAUGGCGUAAUGAUGGCCAGGCUGUCUCCACCCGAGACUCAGUGAAAUUGAACUCGCUGUGAAGAUGCAGUGUACCCGCGGCAAGACGGAAAGACCCCGUGAACCUUUACUAUAGCUUGACACUGAACAUUGAGCCUUGAUGUGUAGGAUAGGUGGGAGGCUUUGAAGUGUGGACGCCAGUCUGCAUGGAGCCGACCUUGAAAUACCACCCUUUAAUGUUUGAUGUUCUAACGUUGGCCCGUAAUCCGGGUUGCGGACAGUGUCUGGUGGGUAGUUUGACUGGGGCGGUCUCCUCCUAAAGAGUAACGGAGGAGCACGAAGGUUGGCUAAUCCUGGUCGGACAUCAGGAGGUUAGUGCAAUGGCAUAAGCCAGCUUGACUGCGAGCGUGACGGCGCGAGCAGGUGCGAAAGCAGGUCAUAGUGAUCCGGUGGUUCUGAAUGGAAGGGCCAUCGCUCAACGGAUAAAAGGUACUCCGGGGAUAACAGGCUGAUACCGCCCAAGAGUUCAUAUCGACGGCGGUGUUUGGCACCUCGAUGUCGGCUCAUCACAUCCUGGGGCUGAAGUAGGUCCCAAGGGUAUGGCUGUUCGCCAUUUAAAGUGGUACGCGAGCUGGGUUUAGAACGUCGUGAGACAGUUCGGUCCCUAUCUGCCGUGGGCGCUGGAGAACUGAGGGGGGCUGCUCCUAGUACGAGAGGACCGGAGUGGACGCAUCACUGGUGUUCGGGUUGUCAUGCCAAUGGCACUGCCCGGUAGCUAAAUGCGGAAGAGAUAAGUGCUGAAAGCAUCUAAGCACGAAACUUGCCCCGAGAUGAGUUCUCCCUGACUCCUUGAGAGUCCUGAAGGAACGUUGAAGACGACGACGUUGAUAGGCCGGGUGUGUAAGCGCAGCGAUGCGUUGAGCUAACCGGUACUAAUGAACCGUGAGGCUUAACCUU
RNAcentral lists this ribosomal RNA (2901 nucleotides) under Escherichia coli. Its description in RNAcentral is "23S ribosomal RNA". It matches the Rfam family "Bacterial large subunit ribosomal RNA". The record is from RNAcentral. Lineage: Bacteria; Pseudomonadati; Pseudomonadota; Gammaproteobacteria; Enterobacterales; Enterobacteriaceae.